UACGGAGGGUGCAAACGUUGCUCGGAAUCAUUGGGCGUAAAGCGCACGUAGGCGGUCCGGUAAGUCGGAUGUGAAAUCCCUCGGCUCAACCGAGGAAGUGCAUCCGAAACUGUCGGGCUUGAGUACGGAAGAGGGUCUCGGAAUUCCCGGUGUAGAGGUGAAAUUCGUAGAUAUCGGGAGGAACACCAGUGGCGAAGGCGGAGACCUGGGCCGAUACUGACGCUGAGGUGCGAAAGCGUGGGGAGCAAACAGG
Molecule: ribosomal RNA, 253 nt
Filed under: uncultured bacterium
Lineage: Bacteria
Description: partial 16S ribosomal RNA
Rfam family: Bacterial small subunit ribosomal RNA
Source: RNAcentral